Molecule: unclassified non-coding RNA, 2683 nt
Filed under: Leishmania donovani
Lineage: Eukaryota; Euglenozoa; Kinetoplastea; Trypanosomatida; Trypanosomatidae
Description: gene:LdHU3.35.6750(CDS-product:hypothetical_prote in_conserved)
Source: RNAcentral
CGCAAACAUCCACAAACGCACGGCGCUCUCUUGUGUGUGUCUCCUCUGCGAGUGUGGGGAGGACUGCGCGCGUCGGCGUUCCCCCCUUUCCUCAUUGGGCAUCUGCGCCUUAGUGCGCGUAUCGUCAGGCAGCGGUCGCCGUGGGCCGAACUGGACCAUAUUAGCAUCUGCUUCGUUCUGGUUUUGUUCGUCUUUUGUCGCCUUGUGUCCCACUACGCCCUCUUCUGGGCCUGUGCUCUCAUUAAUGCCGAGCAUGAACCGAUCUCUGCUCGCUAACAAUGGCGCGCCCGCAGCGAAGCGACCGCGUCGUGAGCCGGCUCCUGACAUAUCCGCACAUGUGAGCGACAUUCCUGAGGUGAUGUCGUUGGUUGCGGAGAACAACGCGCAAUUACGUCCAAAGCUCCGGCUGAGCCAGCGCGACUUUCUCAGCCAUGCAUUUGACGCUCUAGGGGCCGCGGCGAGGCAGGAUCCGAGCAAGGCGGAGGUGGCCCUGAGCUUCCUUGCGGAGAUGGCCGCAAAGCAUCAGGAGCUGCCACGCAACACCGUCAUUUCCAAGGUACUCUACAUGUGGUGCACACCGGAACUGGUCGAGUCUGGCGUUCGCCUCAUGGAAACUCUUCUAUGCAGCCGGGCGAAGCUGCCGGAGGCCUUCCUCGCCGCAUUCGACGAGCGCGUGGCCGCUGUGGCACUCCGGGUUGCCAUACAGGCACCGGUAGUCGAUGUCGCACUGCUUCGACGCAUCUUGGACGCUCUGCCGGCAGACGCUUUCAAGCGUCGCGUGUUCCAUCCCCUCUUUGUGCACUGCCGCAGGGCCGCUGACGUGCCGCUGUGCUUUGAGUUCUUUGAUAUGGCCCGUUCAAAGGAGCUGGAAAUGUGGGACAACGACUACAACGAAGUUCUUCGCACGAUCGCCGCCGCCCGGGACAAGGCUGCUGUAACUACCGCCGAGGCAGCCGAGCGCACGAACCUUGUCCUGGAUGAGAUGGCGCGGCAUCACCCUGUUCUGGGGGCUGCAAACGCUCAGCUGGUUCGUGAGCUGCUCGGCGGUACUGUGGCGCCGGUCACCGACGACGGUGUCUGCUCUAACUGCGGUGCACAGCUGCAGAGCUUUGACCUAUCUGCCGAAGACCGCGCGGUGCUGGUGCAUGACCUUGUCGAGAAGCUCGUCAAGCCACGGUUACAGGGCUCCAGCCGCUACGAGCCAGACACCGAGGUCUCGGAGGACACGGUCUGUCAGCGGUGGAGGGAGUUCGAGGAGUUCAAGGCGGCCGCCGCGAAGAUGUCUUACGACACGGUCAUCGACGGCGCGAAUGUAGGCUAUUACGGGUUAAACAGCUGGUACACCGAGGCCAAGGAUGCGCUGCUGCGUUCCCGUGGUAUCGACCCCUCCUCCGUCCCCUCAGCAGAUCGGUUCAGCGUGCCCUUCCCAGUCGAUGUCGCCCCAAAGUUCUCCCUCAUUGAGGACAUGCGCACAGCAGCAGAGCGAAGCGGGAAAAAGGCGGUGAUUGUUCUGCACAACCGCCAUCUAGCGCACCCUACUCCGGAGAACGCCACCUAUGCGGCUAGAUGGCGGGACAUGGGCGCGCUGCUGCCAAGCCCCGCGUUUCUCAACGAUGACUACUGCUGGCUCUACGCAGUGCUGACGCGGCAGGAUUCUUGCAUCAUCUCUAACGACCAGAUGCGCGACCACUACUUCACGGUGCUGCAGCCGCGCUUCUUCGUGCGGUGGCGGCAGCGGCACCGCAUCACGUACAAGGCGCUAUACAACAAGAUUGCGCGGGUUGCCACGUUGCGCAUUCAUCUGCCUCGGGUGUACUCGGUGUGGGUGCAAGCGUGCGGCGUGGCCUCUCAGCGCCACUGGCACGUCCCGUACAUUGCGAGCAUUGACGUCAUUCACCAGGCCACGAAUCAAACAAUUAUGACGAGCGCCGACGUCGAUUUGGGCAAGGACGGAGAUGACCAGUGCACGGAUUGGAUCUGCACGCGACGAGGCUCUUAGGCACGACAUGUAUGGCUUUGGCAUUUUCCGCAGUGCUCUUGCAGAAGCUUGGCAGGCUCACCUCGUCACUGUUUGCUGCACCUCACAGUUCACGGUGCUUAUGGAGCGUGUUGGUGGGCGCUUCUAUCAUCUUUUGGGAUUUCCUCGAGGCUGUGUGGCUAUUCACACGCAUGCGAAAGGCCGCGGAGGCCGUCCACGAGGUGCGCUGAGGUCAUGCCACGUGCGUUUUUCCGCGCGCGCGGCGUUCCUCUCUCACGCAAACGGCUAAACCGUUUUAAUCACGAAUCCAUCGAAGUGCAUGCCUCAUGAGCCACCACUUCUCUUGCCCUUUCUCGCUGAGGGGGUGGGGGCAUGUCAAAUCGACACUUGGUUUCUGUGGCACUCAAGGGAACGUGCAUGCGUACUGCCCUCCGCAAAGGAGUGAGGUCAGCGCCCGCGCAACUCGCGACACUCCGUUUCUCUGUGCUCUCUGCUACGUGCCUCAUCUUUGCUGUCGCUGCUGCACGGCCACAUUCACGUGACGUGUGGUCCUCCUUCCAUGUCGUCUUCGACUCCUCCCUCCUCUCUCUCUUUCUCGUACCGCUUCCGACCUCUCUUUCUCACGCACCACACACGCGUUGUGUCCACUACCACGUCGUCCUUAUCUUUCACGCAACUCCCCGCCACGCUGCGGAUGAUCCGUAG